This 253-nucleotide ribosomal RNA is filed under the name uncultured bacterium. RNAcentral's name for it is "partial 16S ribosomal RNA". It matches the Rfam family "Bacterial small subunit ribosomal RNA", at positions 524 to 776 of the family's 1533-position model. The record is from RNAcentral.
UACGUAGGGGGCAAGCGUUGUCCGGAAUCAUUGGGCGUAAAGCGCGCGUAGGUGGCUUCGUAAGUCCGCUGUGAAAGUCAAAGGCUCAACCUUUGAAAGCCGGUGGAUACUGUGAAGCUAGAGUACGGAAGAGGCGAGUGGAAUUCCUGGUGUAGCGGUGGAAUGCGCAGAUAUCAGGAGGAACACCAAUAGCGAAGGCAGCUCGCUGGGACGUUACUGACACUGAGGCGCGAAAGCGUGGGGAGCGAACAGG